CACAGGUCCAGAUCUGAGCGCCCAUCCCUAAAGCAAUGGUGGUGAGAGGAGGAGGCAGAGAGAGGAGAUCUUGGUGCUCCAUACUAAAACCCUUCCAUGCCCAGACCUUACACUUCCUGUGGAGGAGGAACUCUGUGCUAUCCCCAUGGAAUGGGAAGGAUUUGGAUGCUGUCCUGUGUUAUGUGGAAGCAUGCAGCAAUCUGGUCUGGAUGAAGAAAAUACCUCAGAAAACCCAAGAGGAAUUUUUGCUUAGACAGUUUCUCUCAUGA
RNAcentral lists this long non-coding RNA (269 nucleotides) under Chloebia gouldiae (Gouldian finch). RNAcentral describes it as "Erythrura gouldiae (Gouldian finch) lncRNA (ENSEGOG00005002533.1)". The record is from RNAcentral. Lineage: Eukaryota; Metazoa; Chordata; Aves; Passeriformes; Passeridae.